RNAcentral lists this ribosomal RNA (253 nucleotides) under uncultured Leptospirillum sp. RNAcentral describes it as "partial 16S ribosomal RNA". It matches the Rfam family "Bacterial small subunit ribosomal RNA", at positions 524 to 776 of the family's 1533-position model. Lineage: Bacteria; Pseudomonadati; Nitrospirota; Nitrospiria; Nitrospirales; Nitrospiraceae. The record is from RNAcentral.
GACAGAGGUGGCAAGCGUUGUUCGGAAUUACUGGGCGUAAAGAGUCUGUAGGUGGUUUGUCAAGUCUUUGGUGAAAGGCCGUAGCUUAACUAUGGGAAUGCCAAAGAGACUGGCAGGCUGGAGGCUGGGAGAGGGAAGCGGAAUUUCUGGUGUAGCGGUGAAAUGCGUAGAGAUCAGAAAGAAGGCCGGUGGCGAAGGCGGCUUCCUGGAACAGACCUGACACUGAGAGACGAAAGCGUGGGUAGCAAACAGG